RNAcentral lists this ribosomal RNA (706 nucleotides) under Curvularia intermedia. RNAcentral's name for it is "LSU rRNA". It matches the Rfam family "Eukaryotic large subunit ribosomal RNA", at positions 64 to 788 of the family's 3401-position model. The record is from RNAcentral. Lineage: Eukaryota; Fungi; Ascomycota; Dothideomycetes; Pleosporales; Pleosporaceae.
ACCAACAGGGAUUGCCCUAGUAACGGCGAGUCAAGCSGCAACAGCUCAAAUUUGAAAUCUGGCUCUUUCAGAGUCCGAGUUGUAAUUUGCAGAGGGCGCUUUGGCUUUSGCAGCSGUCCAAGUUCCUUGGAACAGGACGUCACARAGGGUGAGAAUCCCGUACGUGGUCGCUAGCUAUUGCCGUKUAAAGCCCCUUCGACGAGUCGAGUUGUUUGGGAAUGCAGCUCUAAAUGGGAGGUAAAUCUCUUCUAAAGCUAAAUAUUGGCCAGAGACCGAUAGCGCACAAGUAGAGUGAUCGAAAGAUGAAAAGCACUUUGGAAAGAGAGUCAAACAGCACGUGAAAUUGUUGAAAGGGAAGCGCUUGCAGCCAGACUUGCUUGCAGUUGCUCAUCCGGGCUUUUGCCCGGUGCACUCUUCUGCAGGCAGGCCAGCAUCAGUUUGGGCGGUGGGAUAAAGGUCUYUGUCACGUACCUCUCUUCGGGGAGGCCUUAUAGGGGAGGCGACAUACCACCAGCCUGGACUGAGGUCCGCGCAUCUGCUAGGAUGCUGGCGUAAUGGCUGUAAGCGGCCCGUCUUGAAACACGGACCAAGGAGUCUAACAUCUAUGCGAGUGUUUGGGUGUCAAGCCCGAGCGCGUAAUGAAAGUGAACGGAGGUGGGAACCCGCAAGGGCGCACCAUCGACCGAUCCUGAAGUUUACGGAAGGA